Molecule: non-coding RNA, 31 nt
Filed under: Rattus norvegicus (Norway rat)
Lineage: Eukaryota; Metazoa; Chordata; Mammalia; Rodentia; Muridae
Source: RNAcentral
UGGGAGUUGUCUUCAUCCCAAGAUGGCUUCU